GAUGAACGCUAGCGGCAGGCCUAACACAUGCAGGUCGAGGGAGAAGCCCUUUCGGGGGCAGAAACCGGCGCACGGGUGCGUAACGCGUAUGCAACCUACCUUUCACAGGGGGAUAGCCCGAAGAAAUUUGGAUUAAUACCCCAUAAUAUUAUUGGAUGGCAUCAUUUGAUAAUUAAAACUGCGGUGGUGAAAGAUGGGCAUGCGUCCUAUUAGCUAGUUGGAGUGGUAACGGCACCCCAAGGCUACGAUAGGUAGGGGUCCUGAGAGGGAGAUCCCCCACACUGGUACUGAGACAGGGACCAGACUCCUACGGGAGGCAGCAGUGAGGAAUAUUGGUCAACGGUCGGAAGACUGAACCAGCCAUGCCGCGUGCAGGAAGAAUGCCUUAUGGGUUGUAAACUGCUUUUAUAUGGGAAGAAUAAGGUGUACGUGUACAUUGAUGACGGUACCAUAUGAAUAAGCAUCGGCUAACUCCGUG
RNAcentral lists this ribosomal RNA (478 nucleotides) under uncultured bacterium. RNAcentral's name for it is "partial 16S ribosomal RNA". It matches the Rfam family "Bacterial small subunit ribosomal RNA", at positions 28 to 507 of the family's 1533-position model. The record is from RNAcentral.